UUAUGGCUAGUAUGAUGAAAAACAAUUAGAUGUGCGAGAGGUGAAUUCCUUUAUGAGCUUAAACAUCGAGGCUUAUUGAUAUUCUGACUUGUCGUUG
Non-coding RNA from Capsicum annuum, 97 nucleotides. Lineage: Eukaryota; Viridiplantae; Streptophyta; Magnoliopsida; Solanales; Solanaceae. The record is from Rfam.